UACGGGGGGGGCAAGCGUUGUUCGGAAUUACUGGGCGUAAAGGGUUCGUAGGUGGCCGGCUAAGUCAGACGUGAAAUCCCUCAGCUUAACUGGGGAACUGCGUCUGAGACUGGUCGGCUCGAGGGCAGGAGAGGAACGCGGAAUUCCAGGUGUAGCGGUGAAAUGCGUAGAUAUCUGGAGGAACUCCGGUGGCGAAGGCGGCGUUCUGGACUGCAUCUGACGCUGAGGAACGAAAGCCAGGGGAGCAAACGGG
This 253-nucleotide ribosomal RNA is filed under the name uncultured prokaryote. RNAcentral describes it as "partial 16S ribosomal RNA". It matches the Rfam family "Bacterial small subunit ribosomal RNA", at positions 524 to 776 of the family's 1533-position model. The record is from RNAcentral.